GCCAGCAGCUAGCUCUCUGCAACUCUCACAUGGUCACCUACUGAAGCUAAGCAGGGCUCCGUCUGAUCUGAUACCUGGAUGGGAGACCACAUGGGAAAGUUAGUUUGCUGCCGGAA
RNAcentral lists this ribosomal RNA (116 nucleotides) under Danio rerio (zebrafish). The record is from RNAcentral. Lineage: Eukaryota; Metazoa; Chordata; Actinopteri; Cypriniformes; Danionidae.